This 813-nucleotide unclassified non-coding RNA is filed under the name Hevea brasiliensis (rubber tree). The record is from RNAcentral. Lineage: Eukaryota; Viridiplantae; Streptophyta; Magnoliopsida; Malpighiales; Euphorbiaceae.
CAGCGUAGUGCGACUGAUCAUCUAGUAUGUUUAUAUUGGCCCAUAUUCUAAUAUUAAUUUCUAUGUACUAAUUUGUUUACUAAUCAAAUUUAACUCACAAUUUAAAAGAUUUGAGGAUGAAAUAACAAUGAGUAAUUAAACGUUAUCAUUAAUGGGGCCAUUAUUUUAAAUGUCAUAAUUUAAUGGACCAAUUAAUUGGACUCAUUAACAUCCCAAUUAGAUCUUAUUGAAACAGAAUUUAAAAGAAUGUGGCCAUUAUUCUAGUUGAUGGUCAUAAAUUAAUUAAGUUUAUUUUUUUUAAAUACACGUGGGUUAAAUGGAUAUAUAAUGAUGGAAUAGUGGCCCAAUUAAAAAUGAGCCUAAAUAAUAAUUUGUUAUUAAUUGUGUAACACCCCCAAAAAGAUCUAAUAUGCUGUACAUAUUAAUAAAAUUUCUAUGAAUUUAUUCUAUUAAGAAAUCCAUAUUUGGAGUAAGUUUAAAAUCAUUUAUCUGUUAUUGUAACACUAAGGAUUUGAUCCUGAGUGUUUUAUUAUGUAAUAAAACAAACAAAUACUGAAGAAUGAAAAUGAGUUUUGAGGGUGUAUAAAAUAGAGGAAUGGAUAAACAAGGAUGAAAGGAGAUAUUAUGUUAUAGUAAGGAUGGAGUAAAUUGAAAUUUCGCCAAAGCCAUUAGAUUUAUGUCACUUGGCAAACUUUAGUCCAAGUUCCAAAAAAAGAAAGAAAAAGAAAAUUCCUUUGGUAAUUAAAAAGCUCAAAUUAGCAUUAAGAAAUUAGAAAAUGCAAAAACAUACCAUGGUGAAAAGGAAUCUCAGCU